Molecule: long non-coding RNA, 3592 nt
Organism: Chloebia gouldiae (Gouldian finch)
Lineage: Eukaryota; Metazoa; Chordata; Aves; Passeriformes; Passeridae
Source: Ensembl
UGGAUGGAUGGAUGGAUGGAUGGAUGGAUGGAUGGAUGGAUGGAUGAUGGAUGGAUGAUGGAUGGAUGGAUGGAUGAUGGAUGAUGGAUGAUGGAUGGAGGAUGGAUGGAUGGAUGGAUGGAUGGAUGGAUGGAUGGAUGGAUGGAUGGAUGGAGCAGCCCCUUCCCCAUCCCCACAGCCCCCAGGGAGCAGGAGGGGAUCCCGGAGGGCUCUCAGGGCACAUCCCCCUCUGGCCAGGCUCUGAGCCCCUCCCCACGGCACCGCCCUGACCCCGCAGCGCUGCUCAGGCUCACCUGGAGGGAAGGGGCAGAGGUGCCCACCCUGCCCCAGCUCAGCUGUGGGCACCAGGAGCCGCCCUGGGGAGCAGCGCAGCGCCCCCCAAACCCCUCCGUGCCCAGGCCGGAGCGGCUCGGUGCCCUCAGAGCGUUGCUGCUGCCCCAGGGAGGUUUUCCCUCUCCAGGGGGGUUUUCCCCUCUCCAGACCUUCGGGGAUAAAUCCGUCCCUGCUGCACCUCUGCCCGCAGCCUGGGAGGGUGUGAGCAGCGCACGGAGCCUCUCUGCUGCCCGUACCCACAGCCUCGGCUCUCCUGGGGGAUCAGCUCCCUCUGGAUGUGGCUGGGAAUCCCGGAGCUGGGACUGGCACCCGGCACUGGGAAUGGCACCUGGGACUGGGAAUGGCUCCCAGGACUGGGAAUGGCUCCCGGGACUGGGACUGGCACCCGGCACUGGGAAUGGCAUCCGGGACUGGGAAUGGUUCCCAGGACUGGCACCCGGCACUGGGAAUGGGAUCUGGGACUGGGAAUGGCACCUGGGACUGGGAAUGGGUCCCAGGACUGGGAAUGGGUCCCGGGACUGGGAAUGGCUCCCAGGACUGGGAAUGGCUCCCAGGACUGGGACUGGCAUCCGGGACUGGGAAUGGGUCCCAGGACUGGGAAUGGCACCCGGGAUAGGGAAUGGCACCUGGGAAUGGCAGCCAGGACUGGGAAUGGCUCCCAGGUCUGGGACUGGCACCCGGGACUGGGAAUGGCUCCCGGGACUGGGAAUGGCACCCGGGAUAGGGAAUGGCAGCUGGGAAUGGCAGCCAGGACUGGGAAUGGCACCCGGGACUGGGAAUGGCACCUGGGAAUGGCUCCCAGGACUGGGACUGGCAUCCGGGUCUGGGAAUGGCUCACGGGACUGGGAAUGGUACCCGGGACUGGGAAUGGCACCCAGAACUGGGAAUGGCUCCCGGGACUGGGAAUGGCACCUGGGACUGGGAAUGGCUCGCGGGACUGGGAAUGGCUCCCAGGAUGGGGGAUGGCACCUGGGACUGGCACCUGGGACGGGACUGGCACUUUGCUCUGGGCUCCAGCUCUCCAUGGGGCUGUUCCCUCCUGGAGCAGGGAGUCAUUCCUUCAGCAAUCCUUGGAAAAUGCGUGGUGGGAGGGAAAAUGAGGAGAGUCUGGAGCUCCCCGGGGUUCCUGGAGCGGCUCCUCCUGGUGCCAGCGCUCGGAGCUCCCCGGGAGCGUGCCGGUGCCGCCAGAGCUCUGUCCCAGACAAGUCUCCAGACGUCUGCAUUGCUUGAGGUUUGCCCAGCCCUGCUCCGUUCCCUUCCCGCUAUUUCCAGCCUGAAUUGUUCCCUAAUUGAUUCCAGCGGAUGGGGAAGAGCAGGAACAGCCCCCAGCCCCCAGUGACGCAUUUGGGGCCGUGUUUUCCUGAUCCCUCCUGGUCCCUCCUGGUUCCCUCUUUUCCUGACCCCUCCUGGUCCCUCCUGGUUCCUUCUUUUCCUGACCUGUCCUCGUUCCUUCUUUUCCUGAUCCCUCCUGAUCCCUCCUCGUUCCUCCUGGUCCUGUCUUUUUCUGGUUCUCUUUUCCGGGUUCCCUCCUCAUUCCCUCUUUUCCUGGUCCCUCCUGGUUCCCUCAUUUCCUGACCCCUCCUGGUUCUCUUUUCCUGGUUCCUCAUGGUUCCCUCUUUUCCUGAUCCCUCCUGGUCCCUCCUGUUUCCCUCUUUUCCUGUUUCCCUCUUUUCCUGUUUCCCUCUUUUCCUGGUUCCCUCCUGCAGCUGGAGCCGGGCUGGGUCCUCCCACUGCCAUCUUUCCUCCCACAGAGGAAUUUCCUUGGCAUCAGGGCUGCCCUUCCCAGGGCUCCUGCUGGGAGCUGCAGCUCAGCAGGCAGGACAUGGGCAUGGCUCCUUCAGGAACCUGGGGUGAGGAAUUCUGGUGUUCCCGGGGGAGCAGAGCCUGGAUCAGGGCAGGAACCCCCCCAGGCACCAUCCCGGAGAUCCCUGAGCUGUCGUUGUGCACUUUUCCUGCUCGUUUUUCCCAUUCCCACACUCUGGGAGUGGGAAUAAUCUUCCAGGAGUGCCGGUGCCCAGCUGAGCCGUGCCACAUUUCCCACGGGGAGAUAUUCAGAUCCAAAUCCAAUAUUCCUGCUGAAGGUCAAGGCAAACUGCUGGGGGGAAUCCUGUGGAGCCAGGCCAGCAUUCCCAGGAUCAGGAAAAGGCCCUGCUGGCUCCUGGUUAUCCUUGCACAACCGUUUUCCCCAAAAAUCCCCCCAAAAGGGGAGGGCCUUAGGGUUUCCACCUUGUGAGAGAAUUCCCAACAUUUGCCAAUGCCCAAAACCUGGGGAAAACAGGAAUUUCUUCCCUCCUAAACUUUUUUUAUGGGGUGGAACAUUCCUUUCUUUAGAAUUCCAGCUUUUCCAAGGAAAUUUUGCCAGAAUUUCUGGGAUUUUUUCCCCUCCAGAAUCACACCCAGAACUCCCCAAUUUUCCAGAGAAUUCCAGAGGGUUCCAAUCCCCUUGGUAUUGAUCAGCUCCCAACAACCCCAGUUCCAGGUAACCCCUUUUAUCCCAGGGAUUUCAUGGAUAUUUGAUUCCCACUUGGAGUGUAAAUAUUUGGUGCCAGGCCGAGCUCUGAUCUCCACAGCUGGAAAAAACCCAGCUGGAGGCUGGCAGGGAUUAAACCCCAAAGUUAAAUCCCUCUUCUCCACCUCUGGGAUAAAAUUCCAGCCCUUUUAGGCUGAGUUUAGGGGGAGAAAAACCUCCUGGAAGCCUCAUCCAUUAAAAAAAAUCCCAUUCUUGUCUCAUCCCUGGGCAGGAUUUCCCAGGUUUUGGAGCGCCAAUUGGAAUUUUCAUUGGAAAAUGUUGGGAAUUUCCGUGGCUUUCCAGCAUUUUUUUUUCCCUCAUUUCAUGCAUCCUCCCAUCCACCACAUCAAGGAGCAGCCUCUGCUCCCGGCAGGCGAGGAGCUGUGGCAAAAGGCAGCCACAGAUUUGUCUUGCAUUUGGUUUUUUUUGAAUUUUUUUCCUUUUUUUUUAACCAGAAAGCAGGAAUUUUGGCUGUUCCCUCAGGAAAAGCUCUAUUCCUGGGAUUCUUUUGUCUCGCCAGCUGAUGGUUGGGCGAAAGAAUAGGAUGAAAUCAAUGUGCAGAGCGAGGUCAGGGUUUGGGACAACAACAACAACAACACUUGGAGGCAGAGCUGUAAAUUCCACCCCAUCCCUCCAUUCCCACAUGGAUCCGCCUCUCCUGAUCCAUGGGGACAAUCCAAACAACAAAAUUCCUUUGGAUUUUGGAGAUUCAGCACAAAAUAAAUACAUUUUUCCCCCUUCUUCCUUGCA